RNAcentral lists this ribosomal RNA (884 nucleotides) under Pseudomonas aeruginosa. Its description in RNAcentral is "bacterial SSU rRNA". It matches the Rfam family "Bacterial small subunit ribosomal RNA", at positions 71 to 951 of the family's 1533-position model. Lineage: Bacteria; Pseudomonadati; Pseudomonadota; Gammaproteobacteria; Pseudomonadales; Pseudomonadaceae. The record is from RNAcentral.
GAAGGGAGCUUGCUCCUGGAUUCAGCGGCGGACGGGUGAGUAAUGCCUAGGAAUCUGCCUGGUAGUGGGGGAUAACGUCCGGAAACGGGCGCUAAUACCGCAUACGUCCUGAGGGAGAAAGUGGGGGAUCUUCGGACCUCACGCUAUCAGAUGAGCCUAGGUCGGAUUAGCUAGUUGGUGGGGUAAAGGCCUACCAAGGCGACGAUCCGUAACUGGUCUGAGAGGAUGAUCAGUCACACUGGAACUGAGACACGGUCCAGACUCCUACGGGAGGCAGCAGUGGGGAAUAUUGGACAAUGGGCGAAAGCCUGAUCCAGCCAUGCCGCGUGUGUGAAGAAGGUCUUCGGAUUGUAAAGCACUUUAAGUUGGGAGGAAGGGCAGUAAGUUAAUACCUUGCUGUUUUGACGUUACCAACAGAAUAAGCACCGGCUAACUUCGUGCCAGCAGCCGCGGUAAUACGAAGGGUGCAAGCGUUAAUCGGAAUUACUGGGCGUAAAGCGCGCGUAGGUGGUUCAGCAAGUUGGAUGUGAAAUCCCCGGGCUCAACCUGGGAACUGCAUCCAAAACUACUGAGCUAGAGUACGGUAGAGGGUGGUGGAAUUUCCUGUGUAGCGGUGAAAUGCGUAGAUAUAGGAAGGAACACCAGUGGCGAAGGCGACCACCUGGACUGAUACUGACACUGAGGUGCGAAAGCGUGGGGAGCAAACAGGAUUAGAUACCCUGGUAGUCCACGCCGUAAACGAUGUCGACUAGCCGUUGGGAUCCUUGAGAUCUUAGUGGCGCAGCUAACGCGAUAAGUCGACCGCCUGGGGAGUACGGCCGCAAGGUUAAAACUCAAAUGAAUUGACGGGGGCCCGCACAAGCGGUGGAGCAUGUGGUUUAAUU